This 242-nucleotide long non-coding RNA is filed under the name Lathyrus oleraceus (garden pea). Its description in RNAcentral is "Pisum sativum (pea) long non-coding RNA (PSAT_LNC007296)". The record is from RNAcentral. Lineage: Eukaryota; Viridiplantae; Streptophyta; Magnoliopsida; Fabales; Fabaceae.
AUCCCUAAUUUUUGCCCGAACCUUUCUUUCUGUUUUUGGUUCGCCGGGAUGCCCAUUUUUGCCUGGACUAUUUUGUUCUUUUCGUCCAGCGGGUCUCUUCAUACGAAGUAUUUUUUAACUGCGUCCAGGGAUGCCCAUUUUUGCCUGGACUAUUUUGUUCUUUUCGUCCAGCGGGUCUCUUCAUACGAAGUAUUUUUUAACUGCGUCCGCAUUCACAGGGGAUGGAAAAUCCUCGCCAUCCA